RNAcentral lists this ribosomal RNA (311 nucleotides) under Clostridioides difficile. RNAcentral describes it as "partial 16S ribosomal RNA". It matches the Rfam family "Bacterial small subunit ribosomal RNA", at positions 1232 to 1533 of the family's 1533-position model. The record is from RNAcentral. Lineage: Bacteria; Bacillati; Bacillota; Clostridia; Peptostreptococcales; Peptostreptococcaceae.
GGGUAGUACAGAGGGUUGCCAAGCCGUAAGGCGGAGCUAAUCCCUUAAAGCUACUCUCAGUUCGGAUUGUAGGCUGAAACUCGCCUACAUGAAGCUGGAGUUACUAGUAAUCGCAGAUCAGAAUGCUGCGGUGAAUGCGUUCCCGGGUCUUGUACACACCGCCCGUCACACCACGGGAGUUGGAGACGCCCGAAGCCGAUUAUCUAACCUUUUGGAAGAAGUCGUCGAAGGUGGAAUCAAUAACUGGGGUGAAGUCGUAACAAGGUAGCCGUAUCGGAAGGUGCGGCUGGAUCACCUCCUUUCUAAGGAGA